Molecule: ribosomal RNA, 1439 nt
Filed under: Limosilactobacillus fermentum
Lineage: Bacteria; Bacillati; Bacillota; Bacilli; Lactobacillales; Lactobacillaceae
Description: bacterial SSU rRNA
Rfam family: Bacterial small subunit ribosomal RNA
Source: RNAcentral
AAGUCGAACGCGUUGGCCCAAUUGAUUGAUGGUGCUUGCACCUGAUUGAUUUUGGUCGCCAACGAGUGGCGGACGGGUGAGUAACACGUAGGUAACCUGCCCAGAAGCGGGGGACAACAUUUGGAAACAGAUGCUAAUACCGCAUAACAGCGUUGUUCGCAUGAACAACGCUUAAAAGAUGGCUUCUCGCUAUCACUUCUGGAUGGACCUGCGGUGCAUUAGCUUGUUGGUGGGGUAACGGCCUACCAAGGCGAUGAUGCAUAGCCGAGUUGAGAGACUGAUCGGCCACAAUGGGACUGAGACACGGCCCAUACUCCUACGGGAGGCAGCAGUAGGGAAUCUUCCACAAUGGGCGCAAGCCUGAUGGAGCAACACCGCGUGAGUGAAGAAGGGUUUCGGCUCGUAAAGCUCUGUUGUUAAAGAAGAACACGUAUGAGAGUAACUGUUCAUACGUUGACGGUAUUUAACCAGAAAGUCACGGCUAACUACGUGCCAGCAGCCGCGGUAAUACGUAGGUGGCAAGCGUUAUCCGGAUUUAUUGGGCGUAAAGAGAGUGCAGGCGGUUUUCUAAGUCUGAUGUGAAAGCCUUCGGCUUAACCGGAGAAGUGCAUCGGAAACUGGAUAACUUGAGUGCAGAAGAGGGUAGUGGAACUCCAUGUGUAGCGGUGGAAUGCGUAGAUAUAUGGAAGAACACCAGUGGCGAAGGCGGCUACCUGGUCUGCAACUGACGCUGAGACUCGAAAGCAUGGGUAGCGAACAGGAUUAGAUACCCUGGUAGUCCAUGCCGUAAACGAUGAGUGCUAGGUGUUGGAGGGUUUCCGCCCUUCAGUGCCGGAGCUAACGCAUUAAGCACUCCGCCUGGGGAGUACGACCGCAAGGUUGAAACUCAAAGGAAUUGACGGGGGCCCGCACAAGCGGUGGAGCAUGUGGUUUAAUUCGAAGCUACGCGAAGAACCUUACCAGGUCUUGACAUCUUGCGCCAACCCUAGAGAUAGGGCGUUUCCUUCGGGAACGCAAUGACAGGUGGUGCAUGGUCGUCGUCAGCUCGUGUCGUGAGAUGUUGGGUUAAGUCCCGCAACGAGCGCAACCCUUGUUACUAGUUGCCAGCAUUAAGUUGGGCACUCUAGUGAGACUGCCGGUGACAAACCGGAGGAAGGUGGGGACGACGUCAGAUCAUCAUGCCCCUUAUGACCUGGGCUACACACGUGCUACAAUGGACGGUACAACGAGUCGCGAACUCGCGAGGGCAAGCAAAUCUCUUAAAACCGUUCUCAGUUCGGACUGCAGGCUGCAACUCGCCUGCACGAAGUCGGAAUCGCUAGUAAUCGCGGAUCAGCAUGCCGCGGUGAAUACGUUCCCGGGCCUUGUACACACCGCCCGUCACACCAUGAGAGUUUGUAACACCCAAAGUCGGUGGGGUAACCUUUUAGGAGCCAGCC